RNAcentral lists this unclassified non-coding RNA (248 nucleotides) under uncultured fungus. RNAcentral describes it as "partial contains 5.8S ribosomal RNA, internal transcribed spacer 2, and large subunit ribosomal RNA". The record is from RNAcentral. Lineage: Eukaryota; Fungi.
AACGCACAUUGCGCCCGCCAGCAUUCUGGCGGGCAUGCCUGUCCGAGCGUCAUUUCAACCCUCAAGCACUGCUUGGCGUUGGGGCGCUACGCGCUAAGCGUAGGCCCCUAAAAUCAGUGGCGGGCCCGCCGUGGCUCCGGGCGUAGUAGCAACACCUCGCCCCGGGACCGCGGCGCGCUCCGGCCGUUAAAACCCCCACCAUACUGAAGGUUGACCUCGGAUCAGGUAGGAAUACCCGCUGAACUUAA